This 849-nucleotide ribosomal RNA is filed under the name uncultured Clostridia bacterium. Its description in RNAcentral is "bacterial SSU rRNA". It matches the Rfam family "Bacterial small subunit ribosomal RNA", at positions 28 to 889 of the family's 1533-position model. Lineage: Bacteria; Bacillati; Bacillota; Clostridia. The record is from RNAcentral.
GAUGAACGCUGGCGGCGUGCCUAACACAUGCAAGUCGAGCGCGUCUGAUUUGAUGCUUGCAUUAAUGAAAGAUGAGCGGCGGGCGGGUGAGUAACGCGUGGGUAACCUGCCCUAUACACAUGGAUAACAUACUGAAAAGUUUACUAAUACAUGAUAAUAUAUAUUUACGGCAUCGUAGAUAUAUCAAAGUGUUAGCGGUAUAGGAUGGACCCGCGUCUGAUUAGCUAGUUGGUGAGAUAACUGCCCACCAAGGCGACGAUCAGUAGCCGACCUGAGAGGGUGAUCGGCCACAUUGGAACUGAGACACGGUCCAAACUCCUACGGGAGGCAGCAGUGGGGAAUAUUGCACAAUGGGCGCAAGCCUGAUGCAGCAACGCCGCGUGAACGAUGAAGGUCUUCGGAUCGUAAAGUUCUGUUGCAGGGGAAGAUAAUGACGGUACCCUGUGAGGAAGCCCCGGCUAACUACGUGCCAGCAGCCGCGGUAAUACGUAGGGGGCUAGCGUUAUCCGGAUUUACUGGGCGUAAAGGGUGCGUAGGUGGUCUUUCAAGUCGGUGGUUAAAGGCUACGGCUCAACCGUAGUUAGCCUCCGAAACUGGAAGACUUGAGUGCAGGAGAGGAAAGUGGAAUUCCCAGUGUAGCGGUGAAAUGCGUAGAUAUUGGGAGGAACACCAGUAGCGAAGGCGGCUUUCUGGACUGCAACUGACACUGAGGCACGAAAGCGUGGGUAGCAAACAGGAUUAGAUACCCUGGUAGUCCACGCUGUAAACGAUGAGUACUAGGUGUCGGGGGUUACCCCCCUCGGUGCCGCAGCUAACGCAUUAAGUACUCCGCCUGGGGAGUACGCACGC